UUUUAGCCCGGAUCGCAGUGGAAAUCCUUUUUUUUUGGGAGUGGUGAAGCGAGGGCGAAAAAAGAUUGCAACGUAGAGCCGGACUGGUU
RNAcentral lists this small RNA (89 nucleotides) under Kaistella chaponensis. RNAcentral's name for it is "Chryseobacterium chaponense Flavo-1 RNA". It matches the Rfam family "Flavo-1 RNA". The record is from RNAcentral. Lineage: Bacteria; Pseudomonadati; Bacteroidota; Flavobacteriia; Flavobacteriales; Weeksellaceae.